Ostrea edulis (European flat oyster) is the source of this 521-nucleotide long non-coding RNA. RefSeq lists it as uncharacterized. The transcript has 2 exons. NCBI's taxonomy places the organism in Eukaryota, Metazoa, Mollusca, Bivalvia, Ostreida, Ostreidae. The record is from RefSeq and is a predicted model, not a curated record.
GAAUUCAAACAUACUGAAUCGAUUGAUUGGCUCAUUGGUCUGAAGAAGCUGGCUGGCUCGUUUUCCCUGGAAAUAAUUGUGGGAGUGGUCCUCCUUCCUCAUGAUUUUCUGAAGAAGUGUUCUGACAUCUCUGAAGCGGUCCUCCUCGUUGUCAUAGAUGCUGGCCUGGAUGUCUCCAUUGGACAUUCUCGGACGACUCCUUCCCUCCACUGGUCGGCCUCCAGGCAUUACUCCCUCUAGAAAAAGUGAAGUCAGGAAAAACUUAGGAACUUUUCACAUGGGAAAGAUCACGCAUUAUAGCUGUGUGCUUAAUGUCUUCACUUUAUAAAUUUACUAAUUUACUGCAGGUCAGAGUUCAUUAAUAACAGAUCAGCAUGGAAGACUUUUUCUUCUGAGAGAAUCACAGCCAUUCAAAAUUAUCACAAGUAUUUGAAUAUGCUUGUGCACAAAUAAAACUUGUUUAGUAUAUAUCAACAUGUAACAUUAUAAUCAAUAGGAUAAAUAAAUAUCUUGUUAAUAAC